CCUUUCGGGGUGGAUUAGUGGCGAACGGGUGAGUAACACGUGGGCAAUCUGCCCUGCACUCUGGGACAAGCCCUGGAAACGGGGUCUAAUACCGGAUAUGACAUCCUCCCGCAUGGGAAGGGUGUGGAAAGCUCCGGCGGUGCAGGAUGAGCCCGCGGCCUAUCAGCUUGUUGGUGGGGUGAUGGCCUACCAAGGCGACGACGGGUAGCCGGCCUGAGAGGGCGACCGGCCACACUGGGACUGAGACACGGCCCAGACUCCUACGGGAGGCAGCAGUGGGGAAUAUUGCACAAUGGGCGAAAGCCUGAUGCAGCGACGCCGCGUGAGGGAUGACGGCCUUCGGGUUGUAAACCUCUUUCAGCAGGGAAGAAGCGAGAGUGACGGUACCUGCAGAAGAAGCACCGGCUAACUACGUGCCAGCAGCCGCGGUAAUACGUAGGGUGCGAGCGUUGUCCGGAAUUAUUGGGCGUAAAGAGCUCGUAGGCGGCUUGUCACGUCGGAUGUGAAAGCCCGGGGCUUAACCCCGGGUCUGCAUUCGAUACGGGCAGGCUAGAGUUCGGUAGGGGAGAUCGGAAUUCCUGGUGUAGCGGUGAAAUGCGCAGAUAUCAGGAGGAACACCGGUGGCGAAGGCGGAUCUCUGGGCCGAUACUGACGCUGAGGAGCGAAAGCAUGGGGAGCGAACAGGAUUAGAUACCCUGGUAGUCCAUGCCGUAAACGUUGGGAACUAGGUGUUGGCGACAUUCCACGUCG
This 750-nucleotide ribosomal RNA is filed under the name Streptomyces sp. VTT E-062643. RNAcentral describes it as "bacterial SSU rRNA". It matches the Rfam family "Bacterial small subunit ribosomal RNA", at positions 77 to 839 of the family's 1533-position model. The record is from RNAcentral. Lineage: Bacteria; Bacillati; Actinomycetota; Actinomycetes; Kitasatosporales; Streptomycetaceae.